Molecule: ribosomal RNA, 401 nt
Filed under: uncultured Choreotrichida
Lineage: Eukaryota; Ciliophora; Spirotrichea
Description: partial small subunit ribosomal RNA
Rfam family: Eukaryotic small subunit ribosomal RNA
Source: RNAcentral
GCUUGUCUCAAAGAUUAAGCCAUGCAUGUCUAAGUAUAAACGACUUUAUACUGUGAAACUGCGAAUGGCUCAUUAUAUCAGUUAUAGUUUAUUUGAUGGUCCUUGCUACUUGGAUAACCGUAGUAAUUCUAGAGCUAAUACAUGCUGGUGUGCCUGACUUUUCGGAAGGGCGGUAUUUAUUAGAUAACGAACCAAUAUUCCUCUGGUCUAUUGUGGUGAAUCAUAAUAACUGAUCGAAUCGCAAAGCCUUUGGCUGCGAUAUGUCAUUCAAGUUUCUGCCCCAUCAGCUUUCGAUGGUAGUGUAUUGGACUACCAUGGCUUUUACGGGUAACGGAGAAUUAGGGUUCGAUUCCGGAGAGGGAGCCUGAGAAACGGCUACCACAUCUAAGGAAGGCAGCAGG